RNAcentral lists this ribosomal RNA (755 nucleotides) under Salmonella enterica. RNAcentral's name for it is "partial 23S ribosomal RNA". It matches the Rfam family "Bacterial large subunit ribosomal RNA", at positions 1 to 688 of the family's 2925-position model. Lineage: Bacteria; Pseudomonadati; Pseudomonadota; Gammaproteobacteria; Enterobacterales; Enterobacteriaceae. The record is from RNAcentral.
GGGUUGUGAGGUUAAGCGACUAAGCGUACACGGUGGAUGCCCUGGCAGUCAGAGGCGAUGAAGGGCGUGCUAAUCUGCGAUAAGCGCCGGUAAGGUGAUAUGAACCGUUAUAACCGGCGAUACCCGAAUGGGGAAACCCAGUGUGACUCGUCACACUAUCAUUAACUGAAUCCAUAGGUUAAUGAGGCGAACCGGGGGAACUGAAACAUCUAAGUACCCCGAGGAAAAGAAAUCAACCGAGAUUCCCCCAGUAGCGGCGAGCGAACGGGGAGGAGCCCAGAGCCUGAAUCAGCAUGUGUGUUAGUGGAAGCGUCUGGAAAGGCGCGCGAUACAGGGUGACAGCCCCGUACACAAAAGCGCAUGUGCUGUGAGCUCGAUGAGUAGGGCGGGACACGUGGUAUCCUGUCUGAAUAUGGGGGGACCAUCCUCCAAGGCUAAAUACUCCUGACUGACCGAUAGUGAACCAGUACCGUGAGGGAAAGGCGAAAAGAACCCCGGCGAGGGGAGUGAAAAAGAACCUGAAACCGUGUACGUACAAGCAGUGGGAGCCCCACCACUAAGCCAGUGGUGAACUCCACAUACGCAUCCUUUGCUGAGGAUACGGUUAACGGAGCGAAAGCGACGUUCAACCGCAAAAGAAGCAGAGGGGGCUUAGUGGUGGGGUGACUGCGUACCUUUUGUAUAAUGGGUCAGCGACUUAUAUUCUGUAGCAAGGUUAACCGCAUAGGGGAGCCGGAGGGAAACCGAGUCUUAAC